This is a long non-coding RNA of Lagopus muta (rock ptarmigan), 328 nucleotides long. RefSeq lists it as uncharacterized. Lineage: Eukaryota; Metazoa; Chordata; Aves; Galliformes; Phasianidae. The record is from RefSeq and is a predicted model, not a curated record. The transcript has 4 exons.
GAGGAGGCAAGGAUUUUUUGCUGGCGAUCCCUGCCUUACACAGGCCUACUGAAGAUUUUCCUGAGAAAGUGGGCUCCGUUAUGUUCAGGACCAGAAUGAAAGUGAAAUUCAUCAUUAGUCUGGUUGAUUCAGUGUCUGAAUACACUUCGUACCAUGAGGAUCCUCUUCCCUGAGCCUAAGUCUGUCAGAGUCAAUUUCAGCAGCUGAUGAGGCCCUUCAGUGCCUAGAUUGCAGGAGCGUGAUAAAAAUAUCUGAAGAUAAAUGUUAUUGUUCGUGGUCCCUGUGUUCCCGCUGCAAAUUAUUCACUGUACACUGAGAGAAAGUCUGU